UAUCUCUGUAGAGUCUGCAUAUCAAUAAGCGGAGGAAAAGAAACUAACAAGGAUUCCCUUAGUAACGGCGAGUGAAGCGGGAAGAGCUCAAAUUUGAAAUCUUCAAGGUUCUACCUUGACGAAUUGUAGUUUAAAGAAGUGUUUUCUGUCAGAUGAGUAGCAAAAGUUCCUUGGAAUGGGACAUCAUAGAGGGUGAGAAUCCCGUAUUUGGUUAUUCAUUCUAGCUUUGUGAUACACUUUCAAAGAGUCGGAUUGUUUGGGAAUGCAGUCCAAAAUGGGUGGUAAAUUUCAUCUAAAGCUAAAUAUUGGCGAGAGACCGAUAGCGAACAAGUACCGUGAGGGAAAGAUGAAAAGAACUUUGAAAAGAGAGUUAAACAGUACGUGAAAUUGUCAAAAGAGAAGCGUUUGACACCAGUGUUGUUUUUCCGAAAAUCAAUUACGAAUGGCUUGAUUUUGUGUUGUAUUGACCUUAUCAGCUUUCUUCACUUUUUUCGAGUCUUUCUUAAUGCACUUUUCGGUUAACAAGUCAACAUCAAUUUCUUUUGUUGUAAAAGAGUAUUCGGAAGGUGGCUUUCUUUUCGGAGAAAGUGUUUAUAGCCCUAUACUUCUACAAUCGGAGAGAUUGAGGUCUGCAGCGUAGAUCCUUCGGGGUUAGAUACACUUGUGCUAAGUUGUAGCUUUUCAUAGACAACUUGUUGACUAUGUUUAGUCAUGCGGCUUACUCGCUUGUGCUAUUUUACCUACGCUUAGGAUGUUGACUGAUAUGUAGUCGUA
Molecule: ribosomal RNA, 774 nt
Filed under: uncultured Neocallimastigales
Lineage: Eukaryota; Fungi; Neocallimastigomycota; Neocallimastigomycetes; Neocallimastigales
Description: partial large subunit ribosomal RNA
Rfam family: Eukaryotic large subunit ribosomal RNA
Source: RNAcentral